AUACGUAGGGGACGAGCGUUGUCCGGAAUUACUGGGCGUAAAGGGCGCGCAGGCGGAUAUUUAAGUCAGCUGUAAAAGGCAUGAGCUCAACUCAUGUAUGCGGUUGAAACUGGGUAUCUAGAGUGCUGGAGAGGUAGGCGGAAUUCCCGGUGUAGCGGUGAAAUGCGUAGAUAUCGGGAAGAACACCAGUGGCGAGGGCGGCUUACUGGCCAGCAACUGACGCUGAGGCGCGAAAGCCAGGGGAGCGAACGGGAUUAGAUACCCCGGUAGUCCUUGCCGUAAACGAUGAAUGCUAGGUGUGGGUGUCGAGAGGCAUCCGUGCCGGAGUUAACGCGAUAAGCAUUCCGCCUGGGGAGUACGAUCGCAAGAUUGAACCCCAAAGGAAUUGACGGGG
Molecule: ribosomal RNA, 394 nt
Filed under: uncultured bacterium
Lineage: Bacteria
Description: partial 16S ribosomal RNA
Rfam family: Bacterial small subunit ribosomal RNA
Source: RNAcentral